AUAAUUACCUGUCAGGGGAAACACCAUGAUCAAGAAGGUGGUUUCCCCAUUAAACUGUGUAUUUGGGGGUUCAAAGGCUUUGUUUUAAAGCUCUUUG
RNAcentral lists this small nuclear RNA (97 nucleotides) under Sinocyclocheilus grahami. RNAcentral describes it as "U1 spliceosomal RNA (ENSSGRG00000027414.1)". The record is from RNAcentral. Lineage: Eukaryota; Metazoa; Chordata; Actinopteri; Cypriniformes; Cyprinidae.